UAAUACGGAGGGUGCGAGCGUUAAUCGGAAUUACUGGGCGUAAAGCGUGCGUAGGCGGUAGCGUCAGUCAGCCGUGAAAGCCCCGGGCUUAACCUGGGAACGGCGGUUGAGACGGCGCAACUAGAGUGGGCUAGAGGAUCGUGGAAUUCCGGGUGUAGCGGUGAAAUGCGUAGAGAUCCGGAGGAACACCGAUGGCGAAGGCAGCGGUCUGGGGCCACACUGACGCUGAGGCACGACAGCGUGGGGAGCAAACAGG
Molecule: ribosomal RNA, 256 nt
Filed under: uncultured bacterium
Lineage: Bacteria
Description: partial 16S ribosomal RNA
Rfam family: Bacterial small subunit ribosomal RNA
Source: RNAcentral